UGUGGCUCAAUGGUAGAGCGCUCGCCUAGCACAUGAAAGGCCCUGGGUUCGAUCCUCAGCA
This 61-nucleotide transfer RNA is filed under the name Ictidomys tridecemlineatus (thirteen-lined ground squirrel). Its description in RNAcentral is "Spermophilus tridecemlineatus (thirteen-lined ground squirrel) tRNA". It matches the Rfam family "tRNA", at positions 6 to 65 of the family's 71-position model. Rfam says of the family: Transfer RNA (tRNA) molecules are approximately 80 nucleotides in length. Their secondary structure includes four short double-helical elements and three loops (D, anti-codon, and T loops). The record is from Rfam by way of RNAcentral. Lineage: Eukaryota; Metazoa; Chordata; Mammalia; Rodentia; Sciuridae.